RNAcentral lists this ribosomal RNA (1798 nucleotides) under biogas fermenter metagenome. Its description in RNAcentral is "bacterial LSU rRNA". It matches the Rfam family "Bacterial large subunit ribosomal RNA", at positions 1115 to 2925 of the family's 2925-position model. The record is from RNAcentral.
GCCACUCAUUUAAAGAGUGCGUAAUAGCUCACUAGUCGAGAGAUCCUGCGCCGAAAAUGUCCGGGGCUCAAACUUACCACCGAAGCUACGGGUUCGCACUUUAGUGCGAGCGGUAGAGGAGCGUCGUAAUCGGGCUGAAGUCGUACCGUAAGGAGCGGUGGACUGAUUACGAGUGAGAAUGUUGGCAUCAGUAGCGAGAUGUAAGUGAGAAUCUUACAGGCCGAAAAUCUAAGGUUUCCUGGGGAAGGUUCGUCCGCCCAGGGUUAGUCGGGACCUAAGCCCAGGCCGAAAGGCGUAGGUGAUGGACAAUUGGUUGAUAUUCCAAUACCACUAUUAUCGUUAUUAUCGAUGGUGUGACGGAGAAGGAUAGGAUGUGCUAGCCGUUGGUGGUGCUAGUCUAAGCAUUUAGGGAGUCAGAAUAGGCAAAUCCGUUCUGACAAUCCUGAGGUGUGAUGGGGAAGGUCAUUUUGACCGAAGUAUCUGAUUCCAUGCUUCCAAGAAAAGCAUCUAGAGAGAGAAGUAGUGCCCGUACCGCAAACCGACACAGGUAGAUGAGGAGAGAAUCCUAAGGCCAUCGGAAGAAUUGCAGUUAAGGAACUAGGCAAAUUGACCCCGUAAGUUCGCGAGAAGGGGUGCCUGCGAGAGCAGGCCGCAGAGAAUAGGCCCAAGCAACUGUUUAGCAAAAACACAGGUCUCUGCUAAAGCGUAAGCUGAUGUAUAGGGGCUGACGCCUGCCCGGUGCUGGAAGGUUAAGGGGAACACUUAGCGCAAGCGAAGGUGUGAACUUAAGCCCCAGUAAACGGCGGCCGUAACUAUAACGGUCCUAAGGUAGCGAAAUUCCUUGUCAGGUAAGUUCUGACCCGCACGAAUGGCGUAAUGACUUGGGCACUGUCUCAACUGCAAAUCCGGCGAAGUUGUAGUGCGAGUGAAGAUGCUCGCUACCCGCGAUUGGACGGAAAGACCCCGUAGAGCUUUACUGUAGCUUAGCAUUGAGUUCCGAUAUUGUCUGUACAGGAUAGGUGGGAGACUGGGAAACUAGGGCGUCAGCCUUAGUGGAGUCAUCCUUGGGAUACCACCCUGACAGUAUUGGGAUUCUAACUGGACACCAUGAAUCUGGUGACAGGACAUUGUUAGGUGGGCAGUUUGACUGGGGCGGUCGCCUCCUAAAAUGUAACGGAGGCGCCCAAAGGUUCCCUCAGAACGGUCGGAAAUCGUUCGUAGAGUGCAAAGGCAGAAGGGAGCCUGACUGCGACACCCACAAGUGGAGCAGGGACGAAAGUCGGGCUUAGUGAUCCGGUGGUACCUCGUGGGAGGGCCAUCGCUCAACGGAUAAAAGCUACCUCGGGGAUAACAGGCUGAUCUCCCCCAAGAGUCCACAUCGACGGGGAGGUUUGGCACCUCGAUGUCGGCUCGUCGCAUCCUGGGGCUGAAGUAGGUCCCAAGGGUUGGGCUGUUCGCCCAUUAAAGCGGCACGCGAGCUGGGUUCAGAACGUCGUGAGACAGUUCGGUCCCUAUCCGUCGCGGGCGUAGGAAAUUUGAGAGGAGCUGUCCUUAGUACGAGAGGACCGGGAUGGACUGACCUCUGGUGCACCAGUUGUUCUGCCAAGAGCAUGGCUGGGUAGCUAAGUCGGGAAGGGAUAAACGCUGAAAGCAUCUAAGCGUGAAGCCCCCCUCAAGAUGAGAUUUCCCAUAGCAUAAGCUAGUAAGACCCCUUGAAGAACACAAGGUUGAUAGGUUAGAGGUGUAAGUGUGGUAACAUAUUUAGCUGACUAAUACUAAUAGGUCGAGGGCUUGACCA